Molecule: ribosomal RNA, 415 nt
Filed under: uncultured prokaryote
Description: bacterial SSU rRNA
Rfam family: Bacterial small subunit ribosomal RNA
Source: RNAcentral
GUGUCAGCCGCCGCGGUAAGACGUAGGAGGCAAGCGUUAUCCGGAUUUAUUGGGCGUAAAGCGCGUGCAGGCGGUUUGGUAAGUUGGAUGUGAAAUCUCUCGGCUUAACCGGGAGAGGUCGUUCAAAACUACCAGACUAGAGAGUGGUAGAGGAAGGUGGAAUUCCGGGUGUAGUGGUGAAAUGCGUAGAUAUCCGGAGGAACACCAGUGGCGAAAGCGGCCUUCUGGACCAUUUCUGACGCUAAGAUGCGAAAGCUAGGGUAGCAAACGGGAUUAGAGACCCCGGUAGUCCUAGCCGUAAACUAUGUAGACUUGGCGUUGGCGGAGUUAAAUCUGCCAGUGCCGCAGCUAACGCGGUAAGUCUACCGCCUGAGGAUUACGAUCGCAAGGUUAAAACUUAAAUGAAUUGACGGGG